GCUAUGUGGAAAGCAGACAGGCGGUUUAGGGAUCCAAGUCUCCCAGUUCCCACGUUAUUGCCAUAGGGGAUGCGGGAUUGAGGGUGCUAUUCUAUGGAAAAUCCAAUUUCAAGGUCGUUGUUCUGGGGUUAUACGGAUCCAGCGCAAGACUCCUUCAGGCCAAUAUAAAUGGUUUUCAUCUGUGAUGAACCUGGCAGCUUUUAGCAAUGGCAGCCAACUUUCUCUCUUGGG
RNAcentral lists this small RNA (231 nucleotides) under Histoplasma ohiense. Its description in RNAcentral is "hypothetical lncRNA". The record is from RNAcentral. Lineage: Eukaryota; Fungi; Ascomycota; Eurotiomycetes; Onygenales; Ajellomycetaceae.